Mycena leptocephala is the source of this 94-nucleotide non-coding RNA. NCBI's taxonomy places the organism in Eukaryota, Fungi, Basidiomycota, Agaricomycetes, Agaricales, Mycenaceae. The record is from the annotation of a GenBank genome assembly.
GACCUGGUGGUGAAAUGAAUCACACCUGCUUUGCCUGCCGGGGCUGAAAGAGAAAUAUUCGUAGGGGUCCCCGGUUCGAAUCUGGGCCAGGUCA